RNAcentral lists this ribosomal RNA (546 nucleotides) under uncultured bacterium. Its description in RNAcentral is "bacterial SSU rRNA". It matches the Rfam family "Bacterial small subunit ribosomal RNA", at positions 60 to 607 of the family's 1533-position model. The record is from RNAcentral.
AGUCGAACGAGGUAUUUUGAUUGAAGUUUUCGGAUGGAUUUCAAGAUACCGAGUGGCGGACGGGUGAGUAACGCGUGGGUAACCUGCCUCAUACAGGGGGAUAACGGUUAGAAAUGACUGCUAAUACCGCAUAAGCGCACAGUACCGCAUGGUACGGUGUGAAAAACUCCGGUGGUAUGAGAUGGACCCGCGUCUGAUUAGCUGGUUGGUGGGGUAACGGCCCACCAAGGCGACGAUCAGUAGCCGACCUGAGAGGGUGACCGGCCACAUUGGGACUGAGACACGGCCCAGACUCCUACGGGAGGCAGCAGUGGGGGAUAUUGCACAAUGGAGGAAACUCUGAUGCAGCGACGCCGCGUGAGUGAAGAAGUAUUUCGGUAUGUAAAGCUCUAUCAGCAGGGAAGAAAAUGACGGUACCUGACUAAGAAGCCCCGGCUAACUACGUGCCAGCAGCCGCGGUAAUACGUAGGGGGCAAGCGUUAUCCGGAUUUACUGGGUGUAAAGGGAGCGUAGACGGCGACGCAAGUCUGAAGUGAAAUACCCGGG